Molecule: long non-coding RNA, 726 nt
Filed under: Ananas comosus (pineapple)
Lineage: Eukaryota; Viridiplantae; Streptophyta; Magnoliopsida; Poales; Bromeliaceae
Description: long non-coding RNA (ACOM_LNC025294)
Source: RNAcentral
AAUACUUUAAUACAACAUAUAAAUCUUGAUCAUUUAUUUAUUUUUCUUAAUAGAUGGUUUAGAUUUAAUAUAACUCUAGAGGUGACCUACUAUUGAGGCGUAGAUACCAUUCACCAGAUUCCUAUUUAAAGGGUAUUUUUGUCUUUGCAAAAUAUUUUGAUCUACAAAAGCGGUUUUAUCCAACUAAGAAUAUUGUGAUCUUCUCAAAUGCCUACAACAAUAGUUGGAUUUCAAAUUAGAAUCAAACUGUAAAUUUAAAUUCAAAAAAAUAUUUAAAAUUUAAUUAUAAAUCAAAUUUAAUUUUUUAAAUAUAAAACACAAAUUUAAAAUAAAAUUUUCAGUUCCAAUUCAAAAUUCAAUUUAAAUCAAAAAUUAAAAUUUGGCUUUAAGAUUAAAAGUUCAAUUUAGAUUCAAAUUUAAAAAUUUAAUAUAAAUUUCAAAAUUAAAAUUUUACAUUACAAUACCAACUUCAAAAACUAAAUUUAAAUUCAAUAUUUUUUUGUUAAAAUUUAUAGGAUGCUGACAAAUUUAAUAUAUACUACUUAUUUUUUUUUCCAACAUUGCCAUAUUAACUAAUUUAAAUCGGUAACCUGUUCAACAUGUUACUUCGUUUAAAAAUCCAACUAUACCUUUUACUAAUUAAGAAUUAGAUUUUAAUAUUUAUGAUGUAUUGAAGCAUUCCUCAAGCAAAAUAAGAAGCUCCGUAUUUAUAUUUUAGAGACUUUU